Oenanthe melanoleuca is the source of this 210-nucleotide long non-coding RNA. RefSeq lists it as uncharacterized. The transcript has 3 exons. The record is from RefSeq and is a predicted model, not a curated record. Lineage: Eukaryota; Metazoa; Chordata; Aves; Passeriformes; Muscicapidae.
GAUCUUGGCCAUCAACGAUGAGGAUGUGAGUGAAGCCCCCAGAGAGAGAUUCAUCGAGCUUGUCAGGAAAGCCAAGGACUUCAUCAUCCUCACGGUCCUGCACACCCACCAGUCUCCCAAAUCUGCUUUCAUCAGUGCAGCCAAGAAGGCGAAGCUGAGGUCCAACCCUGCCAAAGUCCGAUUUUCAGAGCAGGUGACGGUCGGCGAGAC